RNAcentral lists this unclassified non-coding RNA (218 nucleotides) under plant metagenome. RNAcentral's name for it is "partial contains small subunit ribosomal RNA and internal transcribed spacer 1". The stretch from base 1 to 46 matches the Rfam family "Eukaryotic small subunit ribosomal RNA", at positions 1786 to 1831 of the family's 1831-position model. The record is from RNAcentral.
AAGUCGUAACAAGGUUUCCGUAGGUGAACCUGCGGAAGGAUCAUUACAGAGGUUUAUCCUUAUUUUGUGAACUUAUCAUCUGGUGUGUAUGUUUUUGUGUACGAGUGCGGAGCACGAGUUGAUAUCAAUUGUGAAACUUGAGUCGAACCACCCGUUCAACACCAAACGUAUGCACCAAACUUUACACCAAUUUCUGUCGGAACAAAAGAAAUGAAAAA